This 251-nucleotide ribosomal RNA is filed under the name uncultured Janthinobacterium sp. RNAcentral describes it as "partial 16S ribosomal RNA". It matches the Rfam family "Bacterial small subunit ribosomal RNA", at positions 524 to 774 of the family's 1533-position model. The record is from RNAcentral. Lineage: Bacteria; Pseudomonadati; Pseudomonadota; Betaproteobacteria; Burkholderiales; Oxalobacteraceae.
UACGUAGGGUGCAAGCGUUAAUCGGAAUUACUGGGCGUAAAGCGUGCGCAGGCGGUUUUGUAAGUCUGAUGUGAAAUCCCCGGGCUCAACCUGGGAAUUGCAUUGGAGACUGCAAGGCUAGAAUCUGGCAGAGGGGGGUAGAAUUCCACGUGUAGCAGUGAAAUGCGUAGAUAUGUGGAGGAACACCGAUGGCGAAGGCAGCCCCCUGGGUCAAGAUUGACGCUCAUGCACGAAAGCGUGGGGAGCAAACA